GUCGUACAAAAUGAUCAAAGGGUGCUGAAAUAACUCUAUAUAUGUAAAUGAUUCCAUUUUCUGUGUAAACAAAACUGAAAAGUGCAAAAUGAAGGCCGGCCGAGCUAACGUCGGCCGACGCACACGCUCAGGCCCCGGCCGGCCUGUGUGCCGCCCCUCAACCGGCAGGUGGGCAACCGCCUUGUGGGCUGUGUGUACUACACGAUGGCCCUGGCCCUCCCCUAAGCCGCCGCCUAUACAAAUGCCGGCACAGCACGACGACUGGCUCUCCGGAAAAGGCCUCGCCGUGCAGCACUCGCGCCGAGCUUGGCACGAGGAGGAUCAGCGCCGCCGCGACCAUCAAGAUCACCGCCGAAACAAACUUCGAUCGCCGCAUCGUCGAACUAAUGUGCUUUGCAACUUUGCAAUAGUGUUGUAUGUGAUAGAGAUGCACAUAGAAUAGAGGUAGAAGUUCACGGUGGAUGGAGAUUCACGACCGUCGACAGGCCCCUCGCGAAUGUAUAAAAAGGUAGAGAUCGGCUGCUGGGUUUGUUUGAACGCCAGCCACAGCGCGCCCGUGUUUGAACGCCAACCGCAGCGCGCGCGUGUUUGCAUGUAUAGGUACGCACGCCCGUUACGUACGUG
RNAcentral lists this long non-coding RNA (624 nucleotides) under Hordeum vulgare. RNAcentral describes it as "long non-coding RNA (HVUL_LNC018124)". Lineage: Eukaryota; Viridiplantae; Streptophyta; Magnoliopsida; Poales; Poaceae. The record is from RNAcentral.